Molecule: ribosomal RNA, 256 nt
Filed under: uncultured bacterium
Lineage: Bacteria
Description: partial 16S ribosomal RNA
Rfam family: Bacterial small subunit ribosomal RNA
Source: RNAcentral
UACGGAGGGUGCGAGCGUUGUCCGGAAUCAUUGGGCGUAAAGGGCGCGUAGGUGGCCCGGUCAGUUCGUGGUGAAAGCGCGGGGCUCAACCCUGCGUCGGCCAUGAAUACUGCCGCGGCUGGAGCACUGUAGAGGCAGGCGGAAUUCCGGGGUGUAGCGGUGGAAUGCGUAGAGAUCCGGAAGAACACCGGUGGCGAAGGCGGCCUGCUGGGCAGUUGCUGACACUGAGGCGCGGACAGCGUGGGGAGCAAACAGG